This 491-nucleotide ribosomal RNA is filed under the name uncultured bacterium. RNAcentral describes it as "bacterial SSU rRNA". It matches the Rfam family "Bacterial small subunit ribosomal RNA", at positions 28 to 507 of the family's 1533-position model. The record is from RNAcentral.
GAUGAACGCUAGCUACAGGCUUAACACAUGCAAGUCGAGGGGCAGCAUGAACUUAGCUUGCUAAGUUUGAUGGCGACCGGCGCACGGGUGAGUAACACGUAUCCAACCUUCCGUUUACUCAGGGAUAGCCUUUCGAAAGAAAGAUUAAUACCUGAUAGUAUGGUGAGAUUGCAUGAUAGCACCAUUAAAGAUUUAUUGGUAAACGAUGGGGAUGCGUUCCAUUAGGUAGUAGGCGGGGUAACGGCCCACCUAGCCGACGAUGGAUAGGGGUUCUGAGAGGAAGGUCCCCCACAUUGGAACUGAGACACGGUCCAAACUCCUACGGGAGGCAGCAGUGAGGAAUAUUGGUCAAUGGGCGAGAGCCUGAACCAGCCAAGUAGCGUGAAGGAUGAAGGUCCUACGGAUUGUAAAACUUCUUUUAUACGGGAAUAAAGUAUCCUACGUGUAGGAUUUUGUAUGUACCGUAUGAAUAAGCAUCGGCUAACUCCGUG